UGACGGUACCCGCCACCCUAGGAGGGCGGAAGGAAAUUAGGCCCGCACGGGCUUGGAACGAUGAGAAAGGGAGGGCGCUCAGGUUUUGCUCACGCACAUGAAAAUUGCAUGAGACUAGCCAUAAACAGCUUAGCUGUAAAAAAAAACAAUUGAAAAACGAAGGAUGUGCAGUGUAUGCUCAAUCAUUCCACAUUAUUCUGCAACACAAUUGUUCUGAUACAGUCUCUGCCUUAUGCGUCCGCAUCCUCCAGUAUAUCGACCAUGUUUGUUAUCACGUGAUGGCCCCGGCAUGACUGGCCUUGGGUUAAAGGCCAGCAAAGCCGCCGUACAACUGUAGGCAUGUGGUGACGCGGUGCUGCAAGCGCCAUUGUUUCGGGUCCACCAAUGGACAGCGGUUAGAUUGACGACGCAAAGCUUCGGCCCAUCGUUCAACGAACAUCUGGAAUGCGUUGUCCGCGCUGAGUCACCGCUCACGAUUGCAGUCACGUUGCAAAGGCCGAGCUCCUGACAGUCUGAUUGAGGCACGGCCCCGGCCGCAGCGGCACAGAGCCGUGGAAUCGACAUAUACCGGUGUUGACCCACAGCAGCCUCUCUGCCAUUGGUCCUCCUCGAAGCACAACUGAACCACCAGCCAACCACGAAUGGAUCUUUGAGUGUUCAGCGGGUGUUCCUAAUCCAUCAGCAGGGCUUCUGUGGGUACCACCACCUAAACGGAACACCUUUGAGAACGUGUACCGCCCACCUAAUUGAACUUAUGUGGCACGAGAUUAAAAGCGUGGCAAAGUAGUGAUGAACCGACGCACAGUGCACCUAAUCUCGGACAUCGAUUGCCGACAAGAGCCUGCUGAAUAUAUAACCAGCGACACGUACCACGAGAAUGGUACAUCGCCAGCGACACUGAGAUUUUUCGUGAUCUGCUGUUGGCAGGGCUACUUGUAAACCACUCUUCAAAGCUGUUCUAAAGUAAGAUACUACAUAUUACUCCAGUUUAAGUGAGCACUGUGCCUUCAAGAACACUGUCAUGUUUUAAUAAUAUAGUCAAGUUACCCAUCCAGUUGGAUAAAAAAGAGAACUGGUUGGGAAAACAUUGCAAAGUUUCUGCCAUUGCGCGCAGUUCUGUACCCGCGCUUGCAAGUACGUAACCUGUGGUCGGUACUCUUCAGUGCAAUAAUGUUAGGUUACUGCGGAGGCGCACUUUCAUCGGUUUUCAAAUUUUCAAAUGGGUGCGUUAUUCUUUCUUCUUUUUUUUUGUUUGCCUGUUUGUUUCAUUCGCGUUGUCCGAAAUUUUUGCUGUUGUUCGUUGUUUACAGACAGGAAUAUAAACCAUACCGCACCAAUUUAUUUUACUCCUUAUUUUUCGUUUGUUGGAGGCUGACAAGAGGUAAACUUAAGAAAAAAGCGGCGAAAAAUGAGGAUUCGUUCGGCAGCUCUACGUAUUUUCGAUCCUAGCAAAAAAAGAAAGAAAAGAAGAACAGGGCUGCAAGAAGGAAUGUAGAGAAAGUGGCCACUAGACAGACCUGUUAAAGAUGUGUAGUAAAUAAAAUCCAUGGGAUAAUUAGGGUUGUAUAUCCAAGUAUGCAGCGCCUCACUUGUGUUUUGCACUGCGGACUUCGUGAGAUGUAACUGAGCCUUCUCUUUAAAACCUCCUUCGCAAAUAGCACACAAGGAACUCUUGCAGCAAAAAGUACUGCUUAUAAAUUGUAACUAGCAUUUUUCUGUAGCAUCGUGGGCUGCAACUAGAUGUUGAUUAAGCUCUCUUUUGUAGCACCCUUAUUGUUGUUAUUUUUGCCAUGUCACUGUGCAUUUAAUUUGAUCUGGCUCCAUGAAAAAUGGAGCAGAUGAUGCUUUUCCUACCUCUAUAUCUGGCCGCAUUCUAUUUAUAGCGUACCAGAUCAGGGGUUUAUAUUUUCCAUAUCAACCAAUCAGGUCUCGAUUAUUGUA
This is a long non-coding RNA of Dermacentor albipictus, 1941 nucleotides long. RefSeq lists it as uncharacterized. The record is from RefSeq and is a predicted model, not a curated record. Lineage: Eukaryota; Metazoa; Arthropoda; Arachnida; Ixodida; Ixodidae.